Molecule: non-coding RNA, 74 nt
Organism: Biomphalaria pfeifferi
Lineage: Eukaryota; Metazoa; Mollusca; Gastropoda; Planorbidae
Source: the annotation of a GenBank genome assembly
CAGAUAAUUGUCUGAAAUUACCCAGUGAUGUUUAUGUACUUCUAGAAUACAUAUAAUUGUCUUGAACUGACUCA